AGUGAACGCUGGCGGUAGGCCUAACACAUGCAAGUCGAACGGCAGCACAGUAAGAGCUUGCUCUUACGGGUGGCGAGUGGCGGACGGGUGAGGAAUACAUCGGAAUCUACUUUUUCGUGGGGGAUAACGUAGGGAAACUUACGCUAAUACCGCAUACGACCUACGGGUGAAAGCAGGGGAUCUUCGUACCUUGCGCGAUUGAAUGAGCCGAUGUCGGAUUAGAUAGUUGGCGGGGUAAAGGCCCACCAAGGCGACGAUCCGUAGCUGGUCUGAGAGGAUGAUAAGCCACACUGGAACUGGGACACGGUCCAGACUCCUACGGGAGGCAGCAGUGGGGAAUAUUGGACAAUGGGCGCAAGCCUGAUCCAGCCAUACCGCGUGGGUGAAGAAGGCCUUCGGGUUGUAAAGCCCUUUUGUUGGGAAAGAAAAGCAGCAGGUUAAUACCCCGCUGUUCUGACGGUACCCAAAGAAUAAGCACCGGCUAACUUCGUG
RNAcentral lists this ribosomal RNA (492 nucleotides) under uncultured bacterium. RNAcentral describes it as "partial 16S ribosomal RNA". It matches the Rfam family "Bacterial small subunit ribosomal RNA", at positions 29 to 507 of the family's 1533-position model. The record is from RNAcentral.